UGGCUCAGUGGUAGAGUGCUUGCUUUGCAUGCAUGAGGCCUUGGGUUCAAUUCCUUA
RNAcentral lists this transfer RNA (57 nucleotides) under Dipodomys ordii (Ord's kangaroo rat). It matches the Rfam family "tRNA", at positions 8 to 63 of the family's 71-position model. From Rfam's summary of the family: Transfer RNA (tRNA) molecules are approximately 80 nucleotides in length. Their secondary structure includes four short double-helical elements and three loops (D, anti-codon, and T loops). The record is from Rfam by way of RNAcentral. Lineage: Eukaryota; Metazoa; Chordata; Mammalia; Rodentia; Heteromyidae.